Molecule: long non-coding RNA, 814 nt
Organism: Quercus robur (English oak)
Lineage: Eukaryota; Viridiplantae; Streptophyta; Magnoliopsida; Fagales; Fagaceae
Exons: 3
Source: RefSeq, a predicted model, not a curated record
UUCACCCAAGAUAUUUUUACUGGACUUCUUGGCUGCACCAGAAAUUUCCCUUGGUCAUUCUUGCUUUACUUCUUUGUUUUCUUCCUUCUUUGUUCUUAUUGGUUGCACCUUUAUCUCUUCUUUGACUUUCUCAAAGAAAGAAGACUUAAGAAACUCUUUUGCUCCCAUUUCCCACGGAUCCAUGCAAAUCAGAAAUUUGCACCUCACUUUACACUCUUUUCUCUUAAGGAAAGAGCUAGGAAGCUCUCUUAGGUCCACUUUGUCAAGUCCAUGGGUCAACAAAUUAAAAGAGAGAUAAGGCUUCAUCAUCUUUUCUUCUUUCUAAUCUUUUAAAAGCAACUAGAAUAGUUAAGAGCUCUCUCCCCCUUUCAUUCCUACGGAUCCAACAACAAAAGAAGGAAAAGCUCUCAAUUAUUUUCUCCCUUCCACACCUACAAGUCCAGCAGCAAGAAGGAAGCUUCUUUCAACUCUCUCAAGCUCUCUACCUCUAAUACUUUUGGUCUAGCCACUAGGAAAAGGAAAUCCUUUCAUGUGUUACCAGUAUCCAAGUCUAAGCUUCUUCGACUUUAGGCUCUCGGUUCCUUUGCUUUUAGGUAAGGGAUAAGUUAUAUGGGCAUUUGUUAGCAGGUUUUAUUUUGGAGCAGAGGGAGCCUUAGUCGAGUUUUGGAAGGAGCUGGUUUAGUUUUAUAUGUAUAGAUCCUAAAUUAGCAAUAUGAUGUUUAGAUUUGUAGCAUUGUUUAUUUUAGGAUCUAAUGAAAGUGUAUACCUUAAAGUAUUAAGGGAUGUAUUAUGUGAAAUUCCGAAUUUGAACAAA